CGGUCGCGGUGUCACGGGGAUGUCACGGUGUUGUCACGGGGCCAGUCGUGGUGUUGUCACGGUGUUGGCGUGGGGCCGGUCGUGGUGUCACGGUGUUGGUGUGGGGCCGGUCGCGGUGUCACGGGGAUGUCACGGUGUUGUCACGGGGCCGGUCGCGUUGUCACGGUGUUGGUGUGGGGCCGGUCACGGUGUUGGUGUGGGGCCGGUCGCGGUGUCACGGGGAUGUCACAGUGUUGUCACGGGGCCAGUCAUGGUGUUGUCACGGUGUUGGCGUGGGGCCGGUCGCGGUGUCACGGUGUUGUCACAGUGUUGUCACGGGGCCAGUCGUGGUGUCACGGUGUUGGCGUGGGGCCGGUCAUGGUGU
RNAcentral lists this long non-coding RNA (364 nucleotides) under Numida meleagris (helmeted guineafowl). RNAcentral's name for it is "lncRNA (ENSNMEG00000002350.1)". The record is from RNAcentral. Lineage: Eukaryota; Metazoa; Chordata; Aves; Galliformes; Numididae.